UACAGAGGGUGCGAGCGUUAAUCGGAAUUACUGGGCGUAAAGCGCGCGUAGGCGGCUUUGCAAGCCGGAUGUGAAAUCCCCGGGCUUAACCUGGGAACUGCAUUCGGGACUGCAUUGCUAGAGUAUGGGAGAGGGAAGUGGAAUUUCAGGUGUAGCGGUGAAAUGCGUAGAUAUCUGAAGGAACAUCAGUGGCGAAGGCAGCUCACUGGGACGGUACUGACGCUGAGGCGCGAAAGCGUGGGGAGCAAACAGG
Molecule: ribosomal RNA, 253 nt
Filed under: uncultured bacterium
Lineage: Bacteria
Description: partial 16S ribosomal RNA
Rfam family: Bacterial small subunit ribosomal RNA
Source: RNAcentral